Molecule: small nuclear RNA, 105 nt
Organism: Suncus etruscus (white-toothed pygmy shrew)
Lineage: Eukaryota; Metazoa; Chordata; Mammalia; Eulipotyphla; Soricidae
Source: RefSeq, a predicted model, not a curated record
GUGCUCGCUUUGGCAGCACCUACAAAAAUUGGAAUGAUACAGAGAAGAUUAGCAUGGCCUCUGCACAAGGAUGACACGCAAAUUUGUGAAGCACUCCAUAUUUUU